CACGGUACGCGUGGGUUUGUUUU
Molecule: non-coding RNA, 23 nt
Filed under: Arabidopsis thaliana (thale cress)
Lineage: Eukaryota; Viridiplantae; Streptophyta; Magnoliopsida; Brassicales; Brassicaceae
Source: RNAcentral